Molecule: ribosomal RNA, 492 nt
Filed under: uncultured bacterium
Lineage: Bacteria
Description: partial 16S ribosomal RNA
Rfam family: Bacterial small subunit ribosomal RNA
Source: RNAcentral
AGUGAACGCUGGCGGUAGGCCUAACACAUGCAAGUCGAACGGCAGCACAGUAAGAGCUUGCUCCUACGGGUGGCGAGUGGCGGACGGGUGAGGAAUACAUCGGAAUCUACUUUUUCGUGGGGGAUAACGUAGGGAAACUUACGCUAAUACCGCAUACGACCUACGGGUGAAAGCAGGGGAUCUUCGGACCUUGCGCGAUUGAAUGAGCCGAUGUCGGAUUAGCUAGUUGGCGGGGUAAAGGCCCACCAAGGCCACGAUCCGUAGCUGGUCUGAGAGGAUGAUCAGCCACACUGGAACAGAGACACGGUCCAGACUCCUACGGGAGGCAGCAGUGGUGAAUAUUGGACAAUGGGCGCAAGCCUGAUCCAGCCAUACCGCGUGGGUGAAGAAGGCCUUCGGGUUGUAAAGCCCUUUUGUUGAGAAAGAAAAGCAGCAGGUUAAUACCCCGCUGUUCUGACGGUACCCAAAGAAUAAGCACCGGCUAACUUCGUG